CAUUGUUUUGUAUCCUUUGCAUCAAGUGUCAGUGAUGAGUUAAAUCACUCGAAGUUUGAAUGCACCUGGGAGGAUGACCGCGAAUGGAGUGACCUCGAUAUCCAAGGGCGGGGCUGUAAUGAGGUGGUACACCCGUGGACCAUGACGGCUACAGCCAUCCUGCGUGUUCUUAGUGCAGCACCUUUAUAUACGUUCUUUCUAGGUAAAAUAACCCCUAAUAACAAGGGCAAUUUACAGCUUUGGUCCAUUAGAGGGAAAAAGGUGAUCAAGAAGAAAUCAUUGUUCUGCUUGGGAACAAAACUGAUGUUGUUGACAAGAGCUCUGCCUGCUCAAGGUCGGUCGUGA
Molecule: long non-coding RNA, 345 nt
Filed under: Oryza sativa Indica Group (long-grained rice)
Lineage: Eukaryota; Viridiplantae; Streptophyta; Magnoliopsida; Poales; Poaceae
Description: lncRNA OsZS97_10G007860
Source: RNAcentral